This 745-nucleotide ribosomal RNA is filed under the name uncultured Bacillus sp. Its description in RNAcentral is "bacterial SSU rRNA". It matches the Rfam family "Bacterial small subunit ribosomal RNA", at positions 50 to 776 of the family's 1533-position model. The record is from RNAcentral. Lineage: Bacteria; Bacillati; Bacillota; Bacilli; Caryophanales; Bacillaceae.
AAUACAUGCAAGUCGAGCGGACCGACGGGAGCUUGCUCCCUUAGGUCAGCGGCGGACGGGUGAGUAACACGUGGGUAACCUGCCUGUAAGACUGGGAUAACUCCGGGAAACCGGGGCUAAUACCGGAUGCUUGAUUGAACCGCAUGGUUCAAUCAUAAAAGGUGGCUUUUAGCUACCACUUACAGAUGGACCCGCGGCGCAUUAGCUAGUUGGUGGGGUAACGGCUCACCAAGGCGACGAUGCGUAGCCGACCUGAGAGGGUGAUCGGCCACACUGGGACUGAGACACGGCCCAGACUCCUACGGGAGGCAGCAGUAGGGAAUCUUCCGCAAUGGACGAAAGUCUGACGGAGCAACGCCGCGUGAGUGAUGAAGGUUUUCGGAUCGUAAAACUCUGUUGUUAGGGAAGAACAAGUACCGUUCGAAUAGGGCGGCACCUUGACGGUACCUAACCAGAAAGCCACGGCUAACUACGUGCCAGCAGCCGCGGUAAUACGUAGGUGGCAAGCGUUGUCCGGAAUUAUUGGGCGUAAAGCGCGCGCAGGCGGUUUCUUAAGUCUGAUGUGAAAGCCCCCGGCUCAACCGGGGAGGGUCAUUGGAAACUGGGGAACUUGAGUGCAGAAGAGGAGAGUGGAAUUCCACGUGUAGCGGUGAAAUGCGUAGAGAUGUGGAGGAACACCAGUGGCGAAGGCGACUCUCUGGUCUGUAACUGACGCUGAGGCGCGAAAGCGUGGGGAGCGAACAGG